AUGAGAGAGCUCUGUUCCUCCACGUGUCCUCGGAGCCUGCCAGCCUCGAGUGGAGCGAUGCUCUUCAGCACGUCGGGCUCAUUGUCUGUCUGCGCUUCUGCCUUCCAUCAGUGCCGUGUCAGCAGCAUGCUGAGAUGCCGGAAUGACGGCUGCAUGGUCUCUCACAAGUUUUGCCUGGUCACUGAAAUGCACACCGCCAAUCUUUUAGGAAGGCGGCCCAAGGUCAGCAGGAGAAAAACCGAACAAGACCCUACAGCGCGCUCCAUCGAGAGGAAGAGACACCCUGGAAUGGAUCGGAAGGGAGCCACAGCGAGACCCCGUAUGGUGCGUGAAGUCCUGGAAGAGCUGCCAAUCC
RNAcentral lists this long non-coding RNA (355 nucleotides) under Scleropages formosus (Asian bonytongue). RNAcentral describes it as "lncRNA (ENSSFOG00015029483.1)". Lineage: Eukaryota; Metazoa; Chordata; Actinopteri; Osteoglossiformes; Osteoglossidae. The record is from RNAcentral.